This 842-nucleotide ribosomal RNA is filed under the name uncultured eukaryote. RNAcentral's name for it is "SSU rRNA". It matches the Rfam family "Eukaryotic small subunit ribosomal RNA", at positions 625 to 1491 of the family's 1831-position model. The record is from RNAcentral.
AGCUCGUAGUCGGAUUUCGGGGCGGGCCGGGCGGUCUGCCGAUGGGUAUGCACUGUUCGGCGCGUCCUUCUUUCCGGAGACCGCGCCUACUCUUAGCUGAGCGGGCGUGGGAGACGGAUCGUUUACUUUGAAAAAAUCAGAGUGUUUCAAGCAGGCAGCUCGCUCUUGCAUGGAUUAGCAUGGGAUAAUGAAAUAGGACUCUGGUGCUAUUUUGUUGGUUUCGAACACCGGAGUAAUGAUUAACAGGGACAGUCAGGGGCACUCGUAUUCCGUCGAGAGAGGUGAAAUUCUCAGACCAAUGGAAGACGAACCACUGCGAAAGCAUUUGCCAGGGAUGUUUUCACUGAUCAAGAACGAAAGUUAGGGGAUCGAAGACGAUCAGAUACCGUCGUAGUCUUAACCAUAAACCAUGCCGACUAGGGAUUGGAGGGUGUUCUAUUUGACCCCUUCAGCACCUUACGGGAAACUAAAGUCUUUGGGUUCCGGGGGGAGUAUGGUCGCAAGGCUGAAACUUAAAGGAAUUGACGGAAGGGCACCACCAGGAGUGGAGCCUGCGGCUUAAUUUGACUCAACACGGGGAAACUUACCAGGUCCAGACAUUGUUAGGAUUGACAGAUUGAGAGCUCUUUCUUGAUUCGAUGGGUGGUGGUGCAUGGCCGUUCUUAGUUGGUGGAGUGAUUUGUCUGGUUAAUUCCGUUAACGAACGAGACCUUAUCCUGCUAAAUAGUGGCGCGAACUUUCUGUUGGCGACCUUCACUUCUUAGAGGGACAAACUUGCUUUCAGCAAGUGGAAGUUUGAGGCAAUAACAGGUCUGUGAUGCCCUUAGAUGUUCUGGGCCGCA